RNAcentral lists this ribosomal RNA (631 nucleotides) under uncultured bacterium GKS61. RNAcentral describes it as "bacterial SSU rRNA". It matches the Rfam family "Bacterial small subunit ribosomal RNA", at positions 8 to 664 of the family's 1533-position model. Lineage: Bacteria; Bacillati; Actinomycetota; Actinomycetes. The record is from RNAcentral.
AGAGUUUGAUUAUGGCUCAGGACGAACGCUGGCGGCGUGCUUAACACAUGCAAGUCGAGCGAUGAAACACCUUCGGGUGUGAAUUAGCGGCGAACGGGUGAGGAACACGUGAGAAAUCUGCCUUCAACACUGGGAUAACUCCGGGAAACCGGGCUAAUACCGGAUAUGAAAUCUGCGGGCAUCCGGAUUUGGAAAGUUUUUCGGUUGAAGAUGAUCUCGCGGCCUAUCAGCUUGUUGGUGAGGUAAUGGCUCACCAAGGCGACGACGGGUAGCCGGCCUGAGAGGGCGACCGCCACACUGGGACAGAGACACGGCCCAGACUCCUACGGGAGGCAGCAGUGGGGAAUAUUGGGCAAUGGAGGAAACUCUGACCCAGCGACGCCGCGUGCGGAUGAAGGCCUUCGGGUUGUAACGCUUUCAGCAGGGAAGAAGCGAAAGUGACGGUACCUGCAGAAGAAGCACCGGCUAACUAUGUGCCAGCAGCCGCGMKUACAUAGGGUGCAAGCGUUGUCCGGAAAUUAUUGGGCGUAAAGAGCUCGUAGGUGGUUCGUCACGUCGGAUGUGAAAAUCUGGGGGCUUAACCCAGACCUGCAUUCGAUACGGGCGAGCUGAGUAUGGUAGGGGAGUCUGG